Molecule: long non-coding RNA, 631 nt
Filed under: Mus pahari (shrew mouse)
Lineage: Eukaryota; Metazoa; Chordata; Mammalia; Rodentia; Muridae
Description: predicted gene 13746 (MGP_PahariEiJ_G0005469.1)
Source: RNAcentral
AUCUACGCUUCUUAUUGAAAGAAUUGUGGGGACUUACUUAGUUCAGCUGUCGACUGGUGCCAACUUCCACCACACAACUAAUUCUUUAAAGCCAUACCUACAACAGUGAUGCCCUGAGAUGGCAUUGCCUAAGAAAGCUGUGUUCAUCUUACUUUGUACAAGCAUCUCCAUGAGGUUUGGACAACACAGUGUCAGCCUUUCUGCCUCAGCCUCCCAGAGCUUGUAUUGUAGGUGUGAGCUACCACUUGGCUUCCGGUUCUAUUUUUAAAGACAUCUUAGAGACUAUAAAACGUCGUUAAGUUUUCAUAGUGCAUUACAGAAUUCCCAGAUUCAUCUCUGCAUUUGGGCAUGUGAGAAGGCCUGGCAUAGUGUGUGGUGCAUGUGAAUGAUUUCAUCCUGCCUGCUGGACAAGAAGCCAUGGGGUAACCCAGUCCCUCUUCCUGGGCAGUGUUGGCAGCUGGCAAUGCUCCUUCUCUAGUGGAGUGUACUCUGGGGAUGUCUGCUUCCCUAAAUCUCCAUUCGUUGUUCACCUACAGCAGUGGUUCUCAACCUUCCCAAUGCUGUGACCUCUUAAUACAAUUCCUCCUGCUAUGGUGACCCCAACCCCCAACCGUAAAAUUAUUUUCAUUGC